GGGUUACUGAAAAGAAUUUUAUUAAGUCACAACUUUCCAAAGUAAUUAAAAAGUCACCAGUAUUAAUAAAUGGAGGCGAACAAUCGCGCUUUUUUGCCUAACUCAUUCAAAUUCAAUCCUCUAUAAAUAGGUCCCUCCUUACUCGUUCAUUCUACUACACAUAUCUAUUUAUUUCUUGCUCUUGUCUUUUAUAUUACACCUUCAACAACUUUCUCUUCAAGAACUUGAUUGCUUUUCCCUAUCUAUGAUAUGGGCGAUCCAGUGUGGGAUGUCGAUAUUUUAUGAGAUGACGUACGGGAACUGCAGAGGCAGGUACAUGAUAUACAGUGAGAGUUGGCCGCUGUCAGAGUAAGGAUGUUGCCGGAGAUCCGCAGGAUAAGAAGGGCGUUGUUGCUGCCUAUCGAAGAUGCAGCUAGCGAUAAUAAUAAACUUAAUAAUAAUAAUAAUAAUAAUAAUAAUAAUAAUAAUAAUGAAGAAUCUAUUAAUAAUAAUUAGAUUAUUUUGUUUCUUCUUUCUUUCUAAGUCUGUAUAUGUAUUUUUAUUUGUUUUAGUUUAAUAAAAAAAUUACGCUUGAUCAACUUUAA
Capsicum annuum is the source of this 584-nucleotide long non-coding RNA. RefSeq lists it as uncharacterized. The transcript has 2 exons. The record is from RefSeq and is a predicted model, not a curated record. NCBI's taxonomy places the organism in Eukaryota, Viridiplantae, Streptophyta, Magnoliopsida, Solanales, Solanaceae.